CUGCAAUGACGGAGCGGGGCCGGCGUCCGCUUGCUCCAGUCGCGUAAACACAUGGCGUUUACGACUGUCUGGGAAGCCUGACGCCGUGACCUCCCGACGCCGCGAGACUCAAGGAAUGAACAUAAUAAUUUCCUACUAGUAUGAAGGAGUUGAGGCAUACUGUUUUUUUGUUUGUUUUGUUUUUUGUUUUUUUAAAAAGCAUAUUCUAGUUUCUAUCUGUAACUCGUUUCUAGUUCUGCCACCGCGAUGCCGAAGGCGCCCAAGCAGCAGCUGCCGGAGCCCGAGUGGAUCGGGGACGGAGAGAACACGAGCCCAUCAGGCUUCCCCAUCAAGAAAUUGCACCACAGGUCAUUCAGUUAUUUGGGCCAAAACUGAAAGGUCAUCAUCCUCUUUCUCCAUUCCUCCUCCCCUAAUCAAUCCAUCAGCCAGCUAAGUCUGCCUCAUUUUUUCAUUCAUCUGUUCAACAAAUAUAUUUAUUGAGUGUAUAGUAUGUGCCAGGCACUCUUCUACGCUCUUGGGAUACUACUGAAUAAAAUAAAGAUCUCUGAUUAGGUUUCCAGCAGGGGAGAUGAUCCUAUAGAUAAAAGAAAAUAUGGAUCAAGUUUAAAAGUAUCAAGAGGACAGAUUUUAGUCUUAAAUGAGGCCUCAGUAAAGUGAAAUUCAAGCAAAUCAUUAAAGAAGAUUAGUUUUGGCCACAUGGAUUUCCAGGAGAAGGGCCUUUCUAGCAUAAGAAACAGCUGGAGUAAAGCCCUGUGACAGGAGUGUUCGGACAUACAUGGGGAACAAACAGGAAGGAGGCAAGAGGGGCUGGAGUGGCACGAGUGAGCCAGAGUUGUGGGAAAGGUGAAAAGAGAAGUAAAGCAGGGUCUGGAUUGGGAAAGGUCUUUUAAAUUAUCUUAAGGAUUUUGGCUUCUUCUGUUGAUUUAAAUGGAAGUCACUGCAGAGUUCUGAGCAGAGUGAUGUGAUCCAACCUACAUUUUAAAAGGAUGACCUGGGCUGGGGCGCGGUGGCUCAUGCCUGUAAUGCCAGCACUUUGGAAGUCCUAGAUGGGUGGAUCACGAGGUCAGGAGAUUGA
This 1075-nucleotide long non-coding RNA is filed under the name Homo sapiens (human). RNAcentral describes it as "HSALNT0103975". Lineage: Eukaryota; Metazoa; Chordata; Mammalia; Primates; Hominidae. The record is from RNAcentral.